UACAGAGGUCUCAAGCGUUGUUCGGAUUCAUUGGGCGUAAAGGGUGCGUAGGCGGCGCGGUAAGUCGGGUGUGAAAUUUCGGAGCUUAACUCCGAAACUGCAUUCGAUACUGGCGUGCUUGAGGACUGGAGAGGAGACUGGAAUUCAUGGUGUAGCAGUGAAAUGCGUAGAGAUCGUGAGGAAGACCAGUGGCGAAGGCGGGUCUCUGGACAGUUCCUGACGCUGAGACACGAAGGCCAGGGGAGCAAACGGG
This 253-nucleotide ribosomal RNA is filed under the name uncultured bacterium. RNAcentral describes it as "partial 16S ribosomal RNA". It matches the Rfam family "Bacterial small subunit ribosomal RNA", at positions 524 to 776 of the family's 1533-position model. The record is from RNAcentral.